AGGGAUGUAGCUCAGUGGGAGCACCUGCUUAGCAGGCAUGAGGCCCUGGGUUCCAUCACCAGCACCACAA
RNAcentral lists this transfer RNA (70 nucleotides) under Marmota monax (woodchuck). RNAcentral's name for it is "tRNA.Ala". The record is from RNAcentral. Lineage: Eukaryota; Metazoa; Chordata; Mammalia; Rodentia; Sciuridae.